Small nuclear RNA from Ursus thibetanus thibetanus, 99 nucleotides. The record is from Ensembl. Lineage: Eukaryota; Metazoa; Chordata; Mammalia; Carnivora; Ursidae.
GUUUGCUUCGGCAGCACAUAUACAAAAUUGGAAAGAUACAGAGAAGAUUAGCAUGACCCCUGCACAAGGAUAACACACACAUUUGUGUAUAUAAUUCUU